CUAUGGAGUAGCAGAGACAGGAGGCAACAGGACUGGGUGUCAGAGGGUGUUAGGGUCUGUCCCAACGGAGGAGAGACAGGAGGCAACAGAACUGGGUGUCAGAGGGUGUUAGGGUCUGUCCCAACAGAGGAGAGACAGGAGGCAACAGGACUGGGUGUCAGAGGGUGUUAGGGUCUGUCCCAACGGAGGAGAGAUAGGAGGCAACAGGACUGGGUGUCAGAGGGUGUUAGGGUCUGUCCCAACAGAGGAGAGACAGGAGGCAACAGGACUGGGUGUUAGGGUCUGUUAGGGUCUGUCCCAACGGAGGAGAGACAGGAGGCAACAGGACUGGGUGUCAGAGGGUGUUAGGGUCUGUCCCAACAGAGGAGAGAUAGGAGGCAACAGGACUGGGUGUCAGAGGGUGUUAGGGUCUGUCCCAACAGAGGAGAGAUAGGAGGCAACAGGACUGGGUGUCAGAGGGUGUUAGGGUCUGUUAGGGUCUGUCCCAACAGAGGAGAGAUAGGAGGCAACAGGACUGGAUGUCAGAGGGUGUUAGGGUCUGUCCCAACAGAGCAGAGACAGGAGGCAACAGGACUGGGUGUCAGAGGGUGUUAGGGUCUGUCCCAACAGAGCAGAGACAGGAGGCAACAGGACUGGGUGUCAGAGGGUGUUAGGGUCUGUUAGGGUCUGUCCCAACAGAGGAGAGAUAGGAGGCAACAGGACUGGGUGUCAGAGGGUGUUAGGGUCUGUCCCAACAGAGGAGAGACAGGAGGCAACAGGACUGGGUGUCAGAGGGUGUUAGGGUCUGACAUGCAGGGAAACAUCCUCCAGUCCUCUCGUCCUCUUGUCCUCCAAUCUUCUAGUCCUCUUGUCCUCCAGUCCUCCAGUCUUCCUGUCCUCCAAUCUUCCAGUCCUCCGGUCAGUCUCUAGUCAGUCUCUAGUCAGUCCUCCAGUCAGUCCUCCGGUCAGUCCUCCAGUCAGUCCUCCAGUCAGUCCUGUAGUCAGUCCUCCAGUCAGUCCUCCAGUCAGUCCUCCAGUCAGUCCUGUAGUCAGUCCUCCGG
This is a long non-coding RNA of Oncorhynchus tshawytscha (Chinook salmon), 1040 nucleotides long. The record is from Ensembl. Lineage: Eukaryota; Metazoa; Chordata; Actinopteri; Salmoniformes; Salmonidae.